This 466-nucleotide long non-coding RNA is filed under the name Pogona vitticeps (central bearded dragon). Its description in RNAcentral is "lncRNA (ENSPVIG00000007385.1)". The record is from RNAcentral. Lineage: Eukaryota; Metazoa; Chordata; Lepidosauria; Squamata; Agamidae.
AUGCGAGAAUAUAUUAAAUACCGAGGAGCCAAGAUUAUUGAUCUCAGCCAGGUGACAGGCCCCAAGGCCACGCAGGAGGAGAAGUGGAUCAAUUACGUUAAUGUGAUCAACUUCAUCAAGCCUUGGAGGGCAGCCGGGAAACCUUUCGUGUGUGACCGACUCUGGUUGUGGACCAGCUAAAGGAGGAAAAGAGAAAGAAAGAAAAAAAGAGAGGAGGAGGAAAACAAGGACAGCCCGUGAGAUCUUGGUACUUUAAUUAAACUUGACCGCACCCAGGAAAGGACACGUCAACUGUCGGUUCUCUGCUUUUUUUGGGGGGGGGACAAAAACAAGGGCCCUGCUGGGGGGAAAAGAAAUGGCUCCUUCUCAACCAAGGGAUGGCAAAGCUGAGGGUUAAAAACCAGCCAGGCUCCCCAUUCAGCAAAGAGUAAACAUGUCCUUGCUUUUUUUCUCCAGUGUUUUGCAA